UACGUAGGGGGCAAGCGUUGUCCGGAUUUAUUGGGCGUAAAGAGCGUGUAGGCGGCCUGACAGGUCUGCUGUGAAAACUCGAGGCUCAACCUCGAGAUGUCGGCGGAAACCGUCUGGCUAGAGUCCGGAAGAGGAGAGUGGAAUUCCUGGUGUAGCGGUGAAAUGCGCAGAUAUCAGGAAGAACACCUAUGGCGAAAGCAGCUCUCUGGGACGGUACUGACGCUGAGACGCGAAAGCGUGGGGAGCGAACAGG
This 253-nucleotide ribosomal RNA is filed under the name uncultured bacterium. Its description in RNAcentral is "partial 16S ribosomal RNA". It matches the Rfam family "Bacterial small subunit ribosomal RNA", at positions 524 to 776 of the family's 1533-position model. The record is from RNAcentral.